GCCGAGACUAGAGUCACAUCUGGACACUGCUUGUUGCCCUGGUGUGCUAGAGUACUCGGACAGUAACCACUAAUCUAUAUUCACUGGCUGUGGCCAUUCUUGACUCAGUCAGUCACCAGGUUAGUGACAGGA
RNAcentral lists this small nucleolar RNA (132 nucleotides) under Phalacrocorax carbo (great cormorant). RNAcentral's name for it is "Small nucleolar RNA SNORA3/SNORA45 family". It matches the Rfam family "Small nucleolar RNA SNORA3/SNORA45 family". From Rfam's summary of the family: The members of this family belong to the H/ACA class of snoRNAs which are thought to guide the sites of modification of uridines to pseudouridines. This family includes mouse snoMBI-28 and human homologues ACA3 (SNORA3) and ACA3-2 (SNORA45). The record is from Rfam by way of RNAcentral. Lineage: Eukaryota; Metazoa; Chordata; Aves; Suliformes; Phalacrocoracidae.